RNAcentral lists this unclassified non-coding RNA (345 nucleotides) under soil metagenome. RNAcentral's name for it is "partial contains 5.8S ribosomal RNA, internal transcribed spacer 2, and large subunit ribosomal RNA". The stretch from base 1 to 120 matches the Rfam family "5.8S ribosomal RNA", at positions 35 to 154 of the family's 154-position model. The record is from RNAcentral.
GAUGAAGAACGUAGCGAAAUGCGAUAAGUAAUGUGAAUUGCAGAAUUCAGUGAAUCAUCGAAUUUUUGAACGCAUAUUGCGCCCUUUGGUAUUCCAAUGGGCACAUCCGUUCGAGCGUCAUUACAACAUUCAGGCCCUGCCUGGUUUUGGGAGCCGCGCUGAGCAGGGGCGCUCCUCAAAUGCUUAGGCGUCGCCGAUCGCCCCUCUAAUGCAGCGAGAUAUUACCGAGUGCAUUUGCAGAGGGACGGUCCGUCAGACCCGCCGAAACCAUUUUACCAUUUCAAUGUUUGACCUCGGAUCGGAUGGGGAUACCCGCUGAACUUAAGCAUAUCAAUAAGCGGAGGA